GAAUAUUUCUUGAAGGCUGCCUUCAAGUCAGGUCUGGGCAGUCUGGUUUGAUUGAUCACUAAGAGGCUUAGAAAUACAUAUGAUUAACAGCAUAAAAAGUCCAUGUUAACUGAAAAGAGAAAAAAAAAAUAUCAUAUAUCAUUGUGUAUAACCCAGAGCCCUGCCUGGCUUGUCCCAGCCUGGCCUAGUUGGGGUGGUGGGAUGGACCUAGGCUGUGAGGCCCUGCCAUGGUGGCCUGGCCCCAUGAUAGGCCCAGCUCCCCAGCCCUGAGGCAGCAGCUGUGCUGUGCUGUGCCCCUGGCAGGGCUUGUGAUAACACCGCUCUGCCACCUCCUUAGGUUCUAUAAGCCCUAGUUGUUUCCUAGUGAAGAGAAAGAUCAGCACAUGAAAUGCAUACAUCCCCAUUCACCUUCACCUUUUUCUGGGAAAGCGCCCAUCGAUUUUUACUGAAAUGGAACAUGAUGCCAGAUCUCCAGAUUUUUCUAAACCUUUAAAAUCACAUAUCCUUUUGGAAGUCAUCAAAACUCAAUACAUUCCCUGUUCAGUGGAUUUUCUGUGCUUUGAUUUCUC
Long non-coding RNA from Cygnus olor (mute swan), 569 nucleotides. RefSeq lists it as uncharacterized. Lineage: Eukaryota; Metazoa; Chordata; Aves; Anseriformes; Anatidae. The transcript is spliced from 3 exons. The record is from RefSeq and is a predicted model, not a curated record.